GAAAUGGCUCUUUUCAGAGCCCACAAAUUAAAUAAUUUAAAGAGUAAU
Molecule: non-coding RNA, 48 nt
Organism: Lutzomyia longipalpis
Lineage: Eukaryota; Metazoa; Arthropoda; Insecta; Diptera; Psychodidae
Source: Rfam